Molecule: long non-coding RNA, 547 nt
Organism: Panicum hallii
Lineage: Eukaryota; Viridiplantae; Streptophyta; Magnoliopsida; Poales; Poaceae
Exons: 2
Source: RefSeq, a predicted model, not a curated record
CUGCUCUGUUCACGAGUUGAGUGAUGAAGCCGAAGCACAACAAGUCUGCGCUGCUGCGAGCACGAGGUAGACGAAGACCUACGCCUCAGAUUCAUGAAUCGAAUUGAUUGGCGCAACCACCAUUGCUGCAUCCGCAAUGCAGCUGAUGAUGAGUAGAGUACUCUAUCUGAUCGAGAAGGAAGGAAAUGGUGGUUCAGCCUUCCCUGACAUAUGCAUACUAGUAACAUUCAAGUCACGAGCAAGCACAGUGCUUGCAACGCAGCAUUGCAUGGGGAGAUGGAGAAGACUACAGAGAUAGGGAGGCAGGCUGCAGCACAAGAGCUGAUGAUGAUGAUGGACAUGGUGGAGUCUGCAAAUAACUAAACGGGAAAGUAGGAGUACUUAAAUAAACAAAAGGAAAGCUGCAGCCGGAGGGAGAUUAGCUGCUGGCGCUGGGUUAGGUUAGGGCCAAGAAGAAGAGAUUAGGGCGGGCUCGCAGUCGGUCAGAGUCGGUCGGUCUCGGCCUCUCCUCGGUCCUCUCAAAAGCCUGCGUGCUGCCAUUAAUUUC